Molecule: ribosomal RNA, 356 nt
Filed under: uncultured soil bacterium
Lineage: Bacteria
Description: bacterial SSU rRNA
Rfam family: Bacterial small subunit ribosomal RNA
Source: RNAcentral
AGAACGAACGCUGGCGGCAUGCCUAACACAUGCAAGUCGAACGAGACCUUCGGGUCUAGUGGCGCACGGGUGCGUAACGCGUGGGAACCUGCCCUUAGGUUCGGAAUAACUCCUCGAAAGGGGUGCUAAUACCGGAUGAUGUCUUCGGACCAAAGAUUUAUCGCCUAUGGAUGGGCCCGCGUUGGAUUAGCUAGUUGGUGAGGUAAAGGCUCACCAAGGCGACGAUCCAUAGCUGGUCUUAGAGGAUGAUCAGCCACACUGGGACUGAGACACGGCCCAGACUCCGUACGGGAGCAGCAGUGGGGAAUUGGAGACAGGCGGCAAGCCUGACUCCAGCAAUCGCCGCGUGCGAGGAG